Molecule: ribosomal RNA, 397 nt
Filed under: uncultured bacterium
Lineage: Bacteria
Description: bacterial SSU rRNA
Rfam family: Bacterial small subunit ribosomal RNA
Source: RNAcentral
CACGUAUACAAUCUACCUUAAACAGGGGGAUAGCCUUUCGAAAGAGAGUAUUAAUACCCCGUAAUAAAUUGAACGGCAUCGUUUGAUUUUGAAAGCUCCGGCGGUUUGAGAUGAGUAUGCGUCUGAUUAGCUAGUUGGUGAGGUAACGGCUCACCCAAGGCGACGAUCAGUAGGGGACCUGAGAGGACUAACCCCCACACUGGUACUGAGACACGGACCAGACUCCUACGGGAGGCAGCAGUAAGGAAUAUUGGUCAAUGGAGGCAACUCUGAACCAGCCAUGCCGCGUGCAGGAUGACGGCCCUAUGGGUUGUAAAACUGCUUUUAUACAAGAGAAAACCCUGGUACGUGUACCAAGUUGAUAGUAUUGUAAGAAUAAGCAUCGGCUAACUUCGUG